UUUUUGAGGCAGAAGUGUCCCACCAGAUGCAAGCAAUGGGAAAUCAGGAGGAAGUCGAGGGAAGCUCAAGCACAAAGCUGUCAGGAUUCAAUGAAGAGACCACAGCUCCAAAUGAGUCACCUCCUUGUAAGAAGAAAGCCUUAGAUGCGCUGUUUGGCGAUUCCUUCACCCAAAGAGAAAGAAAAUCCACAAGCGAGACAGCCAGAGCAGAGGUGUUAAAGUACCGAGCAAAAGAUGUGUUGCCUUUGACUGAAAAUGCCAUGAAGUGGUGGAGAUCUCAGGAGAAAGAGCUACCUGUACUUUCCACCCUUGCUAAACGGUACCUGUGCAUUCCAGGCACCAGUGUGCCAG
Coregonus clupeaformis (lake whitefish) is the source of this 351-nucleotide long non-coding RNA. RefSeq lists it as uncharacterized. The record is from RefSeq and is a predicted model, not a curated record. Lineage: Eukaryota; Metazoa; Chordata; Actinopteri; Salmoniformes; Salmonidae. The transcript is spliced from 3 exons.